Molecule: ribosomal RNA, 468 nt
Filed under: uncultured bacterium
Lineage: Bacteria
Description: partial 16S ribosomal RNA
Rfam family: Bacterial small subunit ribosomal RNA
Source: RNAcentral
GACGAACGCUGGCGGCGUGCUUAACACAUGCAAGUCGAACGGAAAGGCCCUGCUUUUGUGGGGUGCUCGAGUGGCGAACGGGUGAGUAACACGUGAGUAACCUGCCCUUGACUUUGGGAUAACUUCAGGAAACGGGGGCUAAUACCGGAUAGGAGCUCCUGCUGCAUGGUGGGGGUUGGAAAGUUUCGGCGGUUGGGGAUGGACUCGCGGCUUAUCAGCUUGUUGGUGGGGUAGUGGCUUACCAAGGCUUUGACGGGUAGCCGGCCUGGGAGGGUGACCGGCCACAUUGGGACUGAGAUACGGCCCAGCCUCCUACGGGAGGCAGCAGUGGGGAAUAUUGCACACUGGGCGGAAGCCUGAUGCAGCAACGCCGCGUGCGGGAUGACGGCCUUCGGGUUGUAAACCGCUUUCGCCUGUGACGAAGCGUGAGUGACGGUAAUGGGUAAAGAAGCACCGGCUAACUACGUG